RNAcentral lists this unclassified non-coding RNA (239 nucleotides) under Hevea brasiliensis (rubber tree). Lineage: Eukaryota; Viridiplantae; Streptophyta; Magnoliopsida; Malpighiales; Euphorbiaceae. The record is from RNAcentral.
UAAUAAUAAAAAAAAAAAAAGAAGAAAUCAAGAACAACAAAAGACCAACAGCAGCUGUAGUAGUAGUUUUUGUUGGGGUUUCCAUUUUUAAUUAUAAUUAUUGAUUUUGUUUUGUGAUAAAUAGAAAAAAACACGAAAUUAAAUUCUUUUUUGGUUUUAUUUAGAUCAUUAUUUGCUUUUCUUGUGUGGUGAUUGGUGAAGUUUGUCAACUUGUCAAUGUAUUUAAAAAAAAAAAAAAA